UCGGGUUCUCCAGUCAUGUUUUCAGGUGGUCAGAAUAGAUGUAGCUCAAGCAGCAACAGAGCAAGGGUUCCCCACCACACUAGCAUGUGCCUCAACCCUGACCUGGAGGGAUCCCCUCUCAAGGCCUGUAUCAUUCAAGGACAGUAUGCCGUUCCACUGCCAGA
Molecule: small RNA, 164 nt
Filed under: Fukomys damarensis (Damara mole-rat)
Lineage: Eukaryota; Metazoa; Chordata; Mammalia; Rodentia; Bathyergidae
Description: TUC338 (ENSFDAG00000002309.1)
Source: RNAcentral